CUGGCUCAGGAUGAACGCUGGCGGCGUGCCUAACACAUGCAAGUCGAGCGAGGAGAAAAGAGCUUGCUCUUGGAUCCUAGCGGCGGACGGGUGAGUAACGCGUGGGUAACCUGCCCUAUACACACGGAUAACAUACCGAAAGGUAUGCUAAUACGGGAUAAAGCUAAGAUAAGGCAUCUUAUCAUAGUCAAAGCGAAAGCGGUAUAGGAUGGGCCCGCGUCCCAUUAGCUAGUUGGUGAGGUAAAAGCUCACCAAGGCGACGAUGGGUAGCCGACCUGAGAGGGUGAUCGGCCACA
RNAcentral lists this ribosomal RNA (296 nucleotides) under Tepidibacter thalassicus DSM 15285. Its description in RNAcentral is "16S rRNA. Bacterial SSU". It matches the Rfam family "Bacterial small subunit ribosomal RNA", at positions 19 to 312 of the family's 1533-position model. The record is from RNAcentral. Lineage: Bacteria; Bacillati; Bacillota; Clostridia; Peptostreptococcales; Peptostreptococcaceae.